UAAAACAUAGCAAAACAAAAGGAAUUUGCUCAUGUACUGACAGUUUUUAAAAUUUCCUGUGUUUAACUUUCCUCAUCAUAUACAGUUGGCCCUUGAACAAAGUGAGGUUAGGGGUGCCGACCCCUACGCAUUUGAAAAUCUGGGUAUAAGUUUACAGUCAGUGGUUCCGCAUCUGUGGAUUCAACCUACCUUGGAUCGUGUAGGACGAUAGUACGUAUUUAUUGAAAAAUAUCCGUGUGUCAGCGGACCCGCGAGAUUCAAACCCAUGUUGUUCAAGAGUCAACUGUACUUUUCUAGUGUUGCACUUCCCUUAUGUUUUUACCACAUAAUGUACUAAUUACAGUGAAUUAUACUUGUAAAUUGUUCUUAUCUCUACUCUGAAUAGAAGUGAACCUAGAUACUAAGCCUGCUUCCACCAAGAGCAUUAUUUCUUUCUUGUGCAACCUCUGGAUUCUUGCAAGGAGUACUUUAUCCAUUUGUCAGUUUCACAAGUAAUUUUUUAAUACCUCUGUGUGCCAGAUACGGGUCAGGCACUAGGGAUAAAGCAGUGAACCAGACAGACAGAAGUCUUUCCCUCAUGGAACUUACAUUCUAGUGAAGGAGUUCAGAUAGAAAUGAGUAAACAGAUAAGUAAUAUAAUGUUAGAUAGUAGGAAGUGCAAAAGUAAUGUAAGGAGAUUGGGGGGGCAGGUAGGACUCCAUUGUAUAGGUUUGUUAGGGGACAGCUUCACUGGAGAAGUGGCAUUUGAAUGGAGACCUGAAUGAAGAGAGGAGCAAGCCAUGGAAGAUCUGGGAUCAUUCUGUGAUGAAGGCAGUUACCAAAAAAGGUCUCCAGAAUGGAAGGAGUGCCAGGUCAGAGUACCAGUGGAUAACUUCUCCAUCGUGAAGGAACCAUCCAAAGCUGCUAGACAGAAGAAGAGAACUCUAAUUUUGGGAAGUGGUUGAAAAGGAAAAGCUACUAUUACAAUUGGUAACUCUUUCUUGUUUUGAAUGCUACUAGAACUUAUACCCCUUAUGUUUUCCGGUGUGCUAAAAUUAAAACAGCCAGUAUUAACCACAGGCAUAGUAGGAGGCCUAUAAUUAUUUUGAUAC
Molecule: long non-coding RNA, 1091 nt
Organism: Physeter macrocephalus (sperm whale)
Lineage: Eukaryota; Metazoa; Chordata; Mammalia; Artiodactyla; Physeteridae
Exons: 3
Source: RefSeq, a predicted model, not a curated record